RNAcentral lists this unclassified non-coding RNA (235 nucleotides) under fungal sp. RNAcentral describes it as "partial internal transcribed spacer region". The stretch from base 1 to 46 matches the Rfam family "Eukaryotic small subunit ribosomal RNA", at positions 1786 to 1831 of the family's 1831-position model. Lineage: Eukaryota; Fungi. The record is from RNAcentral.
AAGUCGUAACAAGGUUUCCGUAGGUGAACCUGCGGAAGGAUCAUUAACACGUAUCCACGUAUCAACCAACGCGAAUUGUUUUCAAUUUCUCCCUAUCGACGCAAGUCGGUAGGCAAUGAAACAAACUAUUUCCACACCUUUUUGCUAGUUGACUUUUCUACGUGUAUCCUCGUGAUACUCAUCGUUCAUAAUAAAACGAAGAAAACAACUCUUAGCAAUGGAUAUCUUGGUUCUC